This 776-nucleotide ribosomal RNA is filed under the name uncultured marine archaeon. RNAcentral describes it as "bacterial SSU rRNA". It matches the Rfam family "Archaeal small subunit ribosomal RNA", at positions 23 to 805 of the family's 1478-position model. The record is from RNAcentral.
CUGACUGCUAUCGGAUUGAUACUAAGCCAUGCGAGUCAUUGUAGCAAUACAAGGCAGACGGCUCAGUAACGCGUAGUCAACCUAACCUAUGGACGGGAAUAACCUCGGGAAACUGAGAAUAAUGCCCGAUAGAACACUAUACCUGGAAUGGUUUGUGUUCCAAAUGAUUUAUCGCCGUAGGAUGGGACUGCGGCCUAUCAGUUUGUUGGUGAGGUAAUGGCCCACCAAGACUAUUACAGGUACGGGCUCUGAGAGGAGUAGCCCGGAGAUGGGUACUGAGACACGGACCCAGGCCCUAUGGGGCGCAGCAGGCGAGAAAACUUUGCAAUGUGCGAAAGCACGACAAGGUUAAUCCGAGUGGUUUGUGCUAAACGAACCUUUUGUCGGUCCUAGAAACACCGAUGAAUAAGGGGUGGGCAAGUUCUGGUGUCAGCCGCCGCGGUAAAACCAGCACCUCAAGUGGUCAGGAUGAUUAUUGGGCCUAAAGCAUCCGUAGCCGGCGCUGUAAGUUUUCGGUUAAAUCUGUACGCUCAACGUACAGGCUGCCGGGAAUACUGCAGCGCUAGGGAGUGGGAGAGGUAGACGGUACUCGGUAGGAAGGGGUAAAAUCCUUUGAUCUAUUGAUGACCACCUGUGGCGAAGGCGGUCUACCAGAACACGUCCGACGGUGAGGGAUGAAAGCUGGGGGAGCAAACCGGAUUAGAUACCCGGGUAGUCCCAGCUGUAGACUAUGCAAACUCAGUGAUGCAUUGACUUGUGGUCAAUGCAGUGCUGCA